AGGAGCUUGCUCCCCGGGAUGCCCAAGGCCUCUGGGGAGUGAAGGCAACGCCAGAGCUCCCUGGGGCCCUGCUCAGGCCGGGAGAAGCAGGCCUGCCCAACACCCUAGGUGGAGAAGAGAGAUGAGCUUUUGACCACAGAAUGAAGACAGCAGGAAAUGUGACAUGAAGCAGUUCUGUUAUAAACUAGUCUGGUGGAGAAGAUCAAAGGCUGGAACUCAGAACCCUGAGAAUCUUCUGCCACUGCUUUGCUGUAUGUCUCGGGGCAAGUGGCUUACUCUCUCUGGGCUCAAUACUAAACGGAGAAAGAUGGACUAGAGGUCUGGCAAGCGUUUCCUUUCCUCUUCCCAGGGAGGGGCAGCCCAUUCCAGGGGGAUGGGGGCAGCCCCAGAAAGACUUACCUCUUUAGCUUCAGUGCAUGCCCUGAGGAAGGCAUGUCUGAAUCUAGGAAACUGCAGGUGGAGGCCGUGCAGGGAACACCCAGCCCAGCGUGGAUGUGCAACAGUGACUGAGGAUUUGGAGGAAGAAGAUGAGGGGUGGGCCAGGCCAGGGCGGAGGCCCUGAGUCCCCUUAGCCCUACUUCAAGGCAGGCUGAGUGCUGCUUCCUGGACAGGGCUGGAAGCUGGCAUUGGGCCCAGGUCAUCUAGUAGGUGCAGUUUGCUGUAAAUAGAAUGAUAUUGUUCACUAAAUAGUAAGCUGUAAAU
This is a long non-coding RNA of Physeter macrocephalus (sperm whale), 702 nucleotides long. RefSeq lists it as uncharacterized. The record is from RefSeq and is a predicted model, not a curated record. The transcript is spliced from 3 exons. NCBI's taxonomy places the organism in Eukaryota, Metazoa, Chordata, Mammalia, Artiodactyla, Physeteridae.